UACGGAGGUGGCAAGCGUUGCUCGGAAUCACUGGGCGUAAAGGGCGCGUAGGCGGGGAGGUAAGUCGGGUGUGAAAUCCCUCGGCCCAACCGAGGAACUGCGCCCGAGACUGCUUCUCUUGAGUCCCGGAGAGGAAGAUGGAAUUCCCGGUGUAGCGGUGAAAUGUGUAGAGAUCGGGAGGAACACCGGUGGCGAAGGCGGUUCUCUGGGACGGUACUGACGCUGAGACGCGAAAGCGUGGGGAGCGAACAGG
This 253-nucleotide ribosomal RNA is filed under the name uncultured bacterium. RNAcentral's name for it is "partial 16S ribosomal RNA". It matches the Rfam family "Bacterial small subunit ribosomal RNA", at positions 524 to 776 of the family's 1533-position model. The record is from RNAcentral.